Molecule: long non-coding RNA, 605 nt
Filed under: Malus domestica (apple)
Lineage: Eukaryota; Viridiplantae; Streptophyta; Magnoliopsida; Rosales; Rosaceae
Description: long non-coding RNA (MDOM_LNC002968)
Source: RNAcentral
GGACAUUGCAAUCUGCAAGCAACUGUCUACUCAACGAGUUAGUGAAUUCAUAUUGAGUUUAUCAUUAUUCCUUGUUAUUUGUCAUUUGAAUUCAGUUUGUGGAUCUCAUCUCUGUUAGAAAGGUGAUACAAAUGUAGUAUGAUAAAUGUGAUAAGAGUACUAUUUUUUGUGACUAAAAAAUAAAUUGAAAAUGAAAUAAUUAUCAAAUAUUCCCGAAAAGUGAUGAAUUUUAGACCUAGGAAUAUUUUUGCAUUUGUCCCAUCCCAGACAUGAUAGUUUCUUUAUGUUUACUCCCUCUUACAAUGAAAAAUCAUCCUCCUCCACCUUUAAUAAACCUUGAAUUUUGAGAGUUAUCUAUUUCCAAUCCAAUCCUAAAUAGGAAAAGAGGUCUUUGGGUUUUACCUAAAAAGGUUUAGUGAGGUCACAUUAUUUUCUUGCAAUCAUAUCUAUACUACUACGGGAAAAAAAUGAAACAAAAUAUUUAUAAGAAACUUUACGAGCUGAAAAAUGUCAAAUGGAUGCUAGCUGUCUAAAUACUAUUGAAUACUGAGGUUUUUCUUGUCCAACUUAACUUUUGAAGUGUUUGUAUAGUUAGCAAGAUUUUA